This 77-nucleotide transfer RNA is filed under the name Bacillus thuringiensis Bt407. RNAcentral's name for it is "tRNA-Met". It matches the Rfam family "tRNA". From Rfam's summary of the family: Transfer RNA (tRNA) molecules are approximately 80 nucleotides in length. Their secondary structure includes four short double-helical elements and three loops (D, anti-codon, and T loops). The record is from RNAcentral. Lineage: Bacteria; Bacillati; Bacillota; Bacilli; Caryophanales; Bacillaceae.
CGGGGUGGAGCAGCACGGUAGCUCGUCGGGCUCAUAACCCGAAGGUCGCAGGUUCAAAUCCUGUCCCCGCAACCAAA